ACGGGGUGCAGCAGGCGCGAAAACUCCACAAUGCGCGAAAGCGUGAUGGGGUUACCCCGAGUGCCCUCCGUUGAGGAGGGCUUUUACCCAGUGUAAGGAGCUGAGAGAAUAAAGGGGGGGCAAGACUGGUGUCAGCCGCCGCGGUAAUACCAGCUCCCUGAGUGAUAGGGGCGAUUGUUUAGCCUAAAGCGUCCGUAGCCGGCUUAGUAAGUCUUUCGUUAAAUCUGACGAUCUAAUCGUUAGGCCGCGGAAGAUACUGCAAGGCUAGAGGGCGGGAGAGGUUGACGGUAGUCCCGGGGUAGGGGUGAAAUCCUAUAAUCCCGGGAGGACCACCAGUGGCGAAGGCGGUCAACUAGAACGCGCCUGACGGUGAGGGACGAAAGCUGGGGGAGCGAACCGGAUUAGACACCCGGGUAGUCCCAGCUGUAAACAAUGCGAGCUAGGUGUUGGGGCAGCUACGAGCUGCCCCGGUGCCGCAGAGAAGUCGUUAAGCAUGCCGCCUGGGAAGUACGAUCGCAAGAUUGAAACUUAAAGGAAUUGGCGGGGGAGCAC
Molecule: ribosomal RNA, 552 nt
Filed under: uncultured archaeon
Lineage: Archaea
Description: bacterial SSU rRNA
Rfam family: Archaeal small subunit ribosomal RNA
Source: RNAcentral